RNAcentral lists this ribosomal RNA (495 nucleotides) under uncultured bacterium. RNAcentral's name for it is "bacterial SSU rRNA". It matches the Rfam family "Bacterial small subunit ribosomal RNA", at positions 30 to 521 of the family's 1533-position model. The record is from RNAcentral.
AUUGAACGCUGGCGGAAUGCUUUACACAUGCAAGUCGAACGGUAGAGGGGGCAACCCCUCGAGAGUGGCGAACGGGUGAGUAAUAUAUCGGAACGUGCCCAGUCGUGGGGAUAACGUAGCGAAAGUUACGCUAAUACCGCAUACGAUCUACGGAUGAAAGCGGGGGAUCGCAAGACCUCGCGCGAUUGGAGCGGCCGAUAUCAGAUUAGGUAGUUGGUGGGGUAAAGGCUCACCAAGCCAACGAUCUGUAGCUGGUCUGAGAGGACGACCAGCCACACUGGAACUGAGACACGGUCCAGACUCCUACGGGAGGCAGCAGUGGGGGAAUUUUGGACAAUGGACGCAAGUCUGAUCCAGCCAUUCCGCGUGCAGGAUGAAGGCCCUCGGGUUGUAAACUGCUUUUGUACGGAACGAAACGGUGAGCUCUAAUACAGUUUGCUAAUGACGGUACCGUAAGAAUAAGCACCGGCUAACUAACGUGCCAGCAGCCGCGGU